RNAcentral lists this small RNA (127 nucleotides) under Gopherus agassizii (Agassiz's desert tortoise). RNAcentral describes it as "TUC338 (ENSGAGG00000016960.1)". The record is from RNAcentral. Lineage: Eukaryota; Metazoa; Chordata; Testudines; Testudinidae.
AAAUCCUCCAUUUUAUCCACAGAACAGAUACAACAUAUGCAGUGGCAGUGCUAACUUCCUCCCACUGCUCUGCUGCAGUUUGGCAGCCUCAGCUGCAGGUACUACCCUAUGCUGUUAGAGGGUAAUU